CUACACUCGUGCUACAAUGGCCAUUACAAUGGGUUGCCAAGCCGCAAGGCGGAGCUAAUCCCAUCAAAAAUGGUCCCAGUUCGGAUUGAGGGCUGAAACUCGCCCUCAUGAAGUUGGAAUCGCUAGUAAUCGCGCAUCAGCUAUGGCGCGGUGAAUACGUUCUCGAGUCUUGUACUCACCGCCCGUCACUUCAAGGAAGCCGGGAAUACCUGAAAACUCAGCUUGCUGGGGUUAAGGUAAAUUCGGUGACACGGAAGAAGUCGUAACAAGGCACGCGUAGCGGAAGCUGUGCGUGGAUCA
RNAcentral lists this ribosomal RNA (300 nucleotides) under Candidatus Harrisonbacteria bacterium RIFCSPLOWO2_02_FULL_41_11. RNAcentral's name for it is "partial 16S ribosomal RNA". It matches the Rfam family "Bacterial small subunit ribosomal RNA", at positions 1214 to 1525 of the family's 1533-position model. The record is from RNAcentral. Lineage: Bacteria; Candidatus Harrisoniibacteriota.